GGCGACCGGGUGCGUAACACGUAGCUAACCUGCCCUCUCGCGGGGGACAACUGUUGGAAACGACAGCUAAUACCGCAUGACGUCGAGGAGAAUAAAUAUUCUUGACUAAACUUAAGGGGCGAGAGGAGGGGGCUGCGGCCCAUCAGGUAGUUGGAGAGGUAAGAGCUCACCAAGCCGACGACGGGUAGGGGGCCUGAGAGGGUGGUCCCCCACACUGGGACUGACAACGGCCCAGACUCCUACGGGAGGCAGCAGUAAGGGAUAUUGCGCAAUGGGCGAAAGCCUGACGCAGCAACGCCGCGUGGAGGAUGAAGGCCUUCGGGUCGUAAACUUCUUUUAGCAGGGACGAGGAAGGACGGUACCUGCGGAAUCAGUCACGGCUAACUACGUGCCAGCAGCCGCGG
Molecule: ribosomal RNA, 404 nt
Filed under: uncultured bacterium
Lineage: Bacteria
Description: bacterial SSU rRNA
Rfam family: Bacterial small subunit ribosomal RNA
Source: RNAcentral